AACUCUAAACUUCAUAAACACGCGCUCUCUCUUUACAAACUUUAUUUAUCUCGCACAACCCUCUCUUCCACUGUCGAUUGUGUCCCUCCACCUCACCCCCAUUGGCGCCGCCGACUCUCUCCAUUCGUUGUCAUCCAUCUAUGACCUCUUAUCUCUUUGUUUGUUGCUCUAAUAUAAAGAUAUUCAAUGACAAAUCACAAUAUAAGAGAGAGUUCAUCGACAAAAUUCAACAAGAGGGUCCAAUAUGCAAGUAGUUGAAGAGCUAAAGCAACAAGAAGACCAAGAUAAUGAAGAAAAUACGAUAAAACGAAGACAAUUAAAAAAACAUAAAAAUAUAGUUUAUGUUUAAUGUAUGAUUUUUUUUGUGCGAAUUACUUGAAGAAUUUGAUCUUUUUUAUUU
Trifolium pratense (red clover) is the source of this 400-nucleotide long non-coding RNA. RefSeq lists it as uncharacterized. Lineage: Eukaryota; Viridiplantae; Streptophyta; Magnoliopsida; Fabales; Fabaceae. The transcript has 2 exons. The record is from RefSeq and is a predicted model, not a curated record.